This is a non-coding RNA of Galeopterus variegatus (Sunda flying lemur), 73 nucleotides long. The record is from the annotation of a RefSeq genome assembly. Lineage: Eukaryota; Metazoa; Chordata; Mammalia; Dermoptera; Cynocephalidae.
GGGGGUGUAGCUCAGGGGUAGAGCCUUUGACUGCAGAUCAAGAGGUUCCCUGGUUCAAGUCCAGGCAUUUCCU